ACUCAAAUGAAUUGACGGGGGCCCGCACAAGCGGUGGAGCAUGUGGUUCAAUUCGACGCAACGCGAAGAACCUUACCCAGGCUUGACAUGCACCGGACGGGUGUGGAAACACAUCUUUCCUUCGGGACUGGUGCACAGGUGCUGCAUGGCUGUCGUCAGCUCGUGUCGUGAGAUGUUGGGUUAAGUCCCGCAACGAGCGCAACCCUCGCCCUUAGUUGCUAACGAAUAAUGUCGAGCACUCUAAGGGGACUGCCGGCGGCAAGCCGGAGGAAGGUGGGGAUGACGUCAAGUCCUCAUGGCCCUUACGCCUGGGGCUACACACGUGCUACAAUGGUCGGUACAAAGGGCUGCGAUACCGCAAGGUGGAGCCAAUCCCAAAAAACCGACCUCAGUUCGGAUUGCAGUCUGCAACUCGACUGCAUGAAGCCGGAAUCGCUAGUAAUCGCUGAUCAGCAGGCAGCGGUGAAUACGUUCCCGGGCCUUGUACACACCGCCCGU
Molecule: ribosomal RNA, 498 nt
Filed under: uncultured bacterium
Lineage: Bacteria
Description: partial 16S ribosomal RNA
Rfam family: Bacterial small subunit ribosomal RNA
Source: RNAcentral